GCACUCUCAUCAAUCCUGAAGCAGUCAUCUGGGCUCCUGGUGGUCAGGGUCUAUCACAGGCCACCUGGUCAAGGGAAGCCUGUGGAUGAGGCCUUCUUGCCUAUGCUUCAAGAAGCGUCUUGCCUGCAGGCUCAUCUUGAUGGGAGAUCUGAACCACCAGGAUGUUUGCUGAGAAAGCAGUGUGUCAGGCUGCAAACAAUCCUGGAGACUCCUGGAGUUGCACUGAGGAGAACUUUCUGGUCUAGACAAAGCAAUCAGAGGUGAAGUGUUACUGGACCUGGUGCUUGCCAUCGCAGAGGAGCUCAUUAAAGAAAGAAGGAGGACUUGGUGACUGGCUGCAACUGCGUGUAAUGGCUGAAGGAGGGUGAAAUCUGCACAGGAGAUUGUGUUUUAUUAGAUGUCUUUCUGCUUCUGAAGAUAUAAACUCAUCCUGUCCAAUAUCUGCCUUCUACAGUCCCACUUGCUUGCUCUCUAUGCUCCCAGUGCCAUCCCAGGGAAGUGGUUGCUGCCUCUACCAAAUUCUCAGCCCUUCUCCAAGAAGCUGAUGCAGAGUCUUUACAUGGUUUCAUGAAAGUCUGUGUGUGAAGGACUGAGGAACAGCCAUGAGUUGCUAGCUGAAAGCUAUUAAAAGUCAGAGCAAAAAAAUUCAAUCCCAUAUUGGCUUUAAACUUUCUCUGUGGGGAAGUGCGUAACCCAUAUAAAGAAUAAACUUAGUGACUCAAUUAAUGCCUUCUGU
Phasianus colchicus (ring-necked pheasant) is the source of this 736-nucleotide non-coding RNA. Lineage: Eukaryota; Metazoa; Chordata; Aves; Galliformes; Phasianidae. The record is from RefSeq and is a predicted model, not a curated record.